This 897-nucleotide ribosomal RNA is filed under the name uncultured bacterium. RNAcentral describes it as "bacterial SSU rRNA". It matches the Rfam family "Bacterial small subunit ribosomal RNA", at positions 56 to 1001 of the family's 1533-position model. The record is from RNAcentral.
UGCAGUCGAACGAAGUAGAAAUACUUAGUGGCAGACGGGUGAGUAACAUGUGGGUAUCUUCCCUAUGGCCAGGAAUAACACGAGGAAACUUGUGCUAAUACCGGAUAAGUCUUUACGGAGAAAGCUUUAUGCACCAUUGGAUGAGCCCGCACUUGAUUAGUUUGUUGGUAGGGUAAUGGCCUACCAAGACUUUGAUCAAUAGCUGAUUUGAGAGGAUGAUCAGCCACAUUGGGACUGAGACACGGCCCAAACUCCUACGGGAGGCAGCAGUGGGGAAUCUUGCACAAUGGAGGAAACUCUGAUGCAGCGAUGCCGCGUGAGUGAAGAAGGCCUUUGGGUUGUAAAGCUCUUUCGUCGGGGAAGAAAAUGACUGUACCCGAAUAAGAAGGUCCGGCUAACUUCGUGCCAGCAGCCGCGGUAAUACGAAGGGACCUAGCGUAGUUCGGAAUUACUGGGCUUAAAGAGUUCGUAGGUGGUUGAAAAAGUUGGUGGUGAAAUCCCAGAGCUUAACUCUGGAACUGCCAUCAAAACUUUUCAGCUAGAGUUUGAUAGAGGAAAGCAGAAUUUCUAGUGUAGAGGUGAAAUUCGUAGAUAUUAGAAAGAAUACCAAUUGCGAAGGCAGCUUUCUGGAUCAUUACUGACACUGAGGAACGAAAGCAUGGGUAGCGAAGAGGAUUAGAUACCCUCGUAGUCCAUGCCGUAAACGAUGUGUGUUAGACGUUGGAAAUUUAUUUUCAGUGUCGCAGUGAAAGCAAUAAACACACCGCCUGGGGAGUACGACCGCAAGGUUAAAACUCAAAUGAAUUGACGGGGACCCGCACAAGUAGUGGANCAUGUGGUUUAAUUCGAAGAUACGCGCAGAANCCUUACCAACACUUGACNUGUUCGUCGCGACUU